Odontomachus brunneus is the source of this 1322-nucleotide long non-coding RNA. RefSeq lists it as uncharacterized. NCBI's taxonomy places the organism in Eukaryota, Metazoa, Arthropoda, Insecta, Hymenoptera, Formicidae. The record is from RefSeq and is a predicted model, not a curated record. The transcript has 2 exons.
CAAAGUUGCUUACCGAUGAUCUUUUACAUUAUAGAAAUUGCCGAAGUAUCCAAUAAAAAUGAUGGGAUAGACGGAUAAAUAUGGAAUAAUAUAUAUAUAUAAAAUUGUAUAAAAAAUAAAAAAUAUGUAAAGUUUCUUAAUUAAUAUCCGAUAGUGUGUACAAUACUUAGAACUCUGUGCAAGAAAAUAUUUGAUUAGGAGAUCUCAAUAAAAUCAGUUUUACAUAAUCGUUAUUUUACGAUAGUUAAAUAAUAAAUAGUUAAUAAAAUACUAUCUACUGGUUACAUAAUUAUUUCUUAUUAAAUUCAAGUUGCAAAGAUCUGAACUAUUUUUCUCUGCGACGUUUGAGGGGGGUUAUUAAACGAACAGUUGCGAUAAGCAGCGUCAUUCUUUGGACUGGCGUACAAAGCAUAGAUUUAUUUCCCAACUUCUUCUAAACAAUAAAAUAUUCGAGAAGCUAUGUCAGUAUUUUGUAAAAAUAAAUAAUGCCAUUUUUCGCGGAACAUAAGAAAAGUAACAAUCACUUCUUUAUCCUUUAUUUUCAAGAAAUUGUGACGCUUCAAACAUAUUGAUAUUGGUUGUAGCAAAACAGGAUAUUCUGUAAAACCAGUUUUCUCAUUAUGAAACUUACAUAAUACCAUUCGAAUAAACUAUAAAUAAUACGUGCGCGGAAUGGAAAUCACAAUACGUGUAAAUUCUACAAAACGGUAAGACGUAACAGUAAGAUUCAAAUCCAUGCAAAAUUCUUAAAUGAUGUUUAAAAACUAAUUGGUACGUGUGAGAAAUUAAGUUGUGGAAAUAGUGCGUAUGAGAAAAUUUAGAAGAUCGACCAAAAAGUGUUUGUGAGAAAAAAUUGAGGUAGUGAAGAAGUUGCCAAGAAGAAUUUCAACUUCAAUAUUUUUAUUUUUAAAAUAUCGACAUUUUUAUACGAUACAAUGAAAGCAUUCCUUUAUGUUUUCUUAAUAAUGACGCUGAUAUCUAUCAGCAUGAUAUCACUGGGAACAUGCGAUGUAUCUACUGAAGCACCCAAGGAAUUGAUUAAGACACAGACAACACAAUUUACACCUUACACCCGUUCCCCAAAAUAUAAUCGCCGAAGAAGACCGCAUGGGGGUCAUAUCGUACGUGUUCGCACGAAAUCUUUUUAAGUAAUUUGCCCAGAAGGACUACAGAAAGAUCAACAAGAUACAAAGAGGACUAUCGAUGUCUUUUUACAAUAUAGAAAUUACCGAGGUAUCCAAUAAAAUUGAUGGGAUAGGAUAAUAAUAUAUGUGUAAAAUUAUAUAAAAAAUAAAAAAAUAUGUAAAGUUUCUUAAUUAAUA